GUUUCAUGAUCGUGGGAGCUGCGUAAGCAGCGGUUGUCCGUCUGUUGCGUCUGAAUCUGAUGCAAGGCCUGAGGUCAGCAGGGCUAGCACUUGUUAAGGAAAGAUGGACACGGUUUGAGAGAAAGUAAAGACAAAAUAGAACCCAUGAGAAUAAACUGAAACCUACAUCUGUCUUUAGAACACACAUUGGUCUCUAGUCACCUCCAGGGCUUCAACUUGGAUGAUGCAAGUGACCUGCAGAAAAGCGUGCGCAAUCCGUCAUGGAACCAAAUAGGAACUGAGCUCAGGACUUUACGAAACUGAAGGAAGACGUCCGCAGGAGCUACAGGAGCUGCGGGUCCAGCAGCUGACCCUCGCCAGCAAUGUGGGCCAGCAUAUCAGCAACUGCAUAUAUAAGCUGCAAAAUUAUCCCCCCCACGUUGACCUGUGUAAGAGCAUAUGCUUACUGCGUGAGUUCCACAAGGUGUUUUGUAACUCAGAAAAUCUCAGUCAGGAACUACUAAUCAAAUGCCAGUUUAUAUCCAACUCCUCAACAGAUCACCAGAACUUCACUCACAAAAGUCACCAGAGAGUUCCACGUGGACAAAGAUAAUGGACAUCUUCCUGUAUAAUCUUACAUCAACUUUCAGUGGCCUUUCACUACUGCCAACCCACAUGCUCCUUUAUCAUCAGGGGCCUUUGAUAGGCUGACCAUGUCCUUCUGGAAACUUGCCUGCUUGGCCUUUGUCGAACCACAUGUCUGACCAUCACUUCUCAGGCUGCACAGCUGACUCAUCUGCCUGGCUUUCCACGCUUAAGCCUUGCUUGUGACUGCAUACAUCCUCACACCGAGUCAGAUGGGAAGAACCAACAAUUUAUGCUGUGCAGAAAAGACCUCUAGAGAAAAGUGAUCAACAGGAAAUAACACAAUAAUUUGCCUUUGAAUUCUCAAAGUAAAAUCUAUUUAUCUUCUCCAUGUGGAACGGCCUACUCUCAGCAUCUUUGCAUUCAGCUGUGUUGAGUUGGGGAGGAGAAAACUAGCAGGAAAAUUUGUGAGCAUAUCCUUUUUCAUUAAAAUGACACAUCUUAGGAAAAUGUUCCCAAGUUCUGUGCAAUUAAUUGGACUUCCUAGGAUUUUGAGUAGGAAAUUUUGACUCCUAUAUAUUAACUUUAAGAAGUUAUGUUUUCUGCAAUAACUGGAU
Molecule: long non-coding RNA, 1181 nt
Filed under: Equus asinus (donkey)
Lineage: Eukaryota; Metazoa; Chordata; Mammalia; Perissodactyla; Equidae
Description: lncRNA (ENSEASG00005026778.1)
Source: RNAcentral